UGGAUAAGCGCUGAAAGCAUCUAAGUGCGAAGCCAGCCGCAAGAUGAGAACUCCAUUGAGGGUCGUUGUAGACGACGACGUUGAUAGGGUGCAGGUGUAAAGACAGCGAUGUCAAAGCCGAGCACUACUAAUUGCCCGAAACUUUCUUCUUUU
RNAcentral lists this ribosomal RNA (153 nucleotides) under Segatella salivae. RNAcentral's name for it is "partial 23S ribosomal RNA". It matches the Rfam family "Bacterial large subunit ribosomal RNA", at positions 2761 to 2925 of the family's 2925-position model. The record is from RNAcentral. Lineage: Bacteria; Pseudomonadati; Bacteroidota; Bacteroidia; Bacteroidales; Prevotellaceae.